ACACAAAAAUGCACAUAUUGUGAGCUCGAUGAGUAGGGCGGGACACGUGGUAUCCUGUCUGAAUAUGGGGGGACCAUCCUCCAAGGCUAAAUACUCCUGACUGACCGAUAGUGAACCAGUACCGUGAGGGAAAGGCGAAAAGAACCCCGGCGAGGGGAGUGAAAAAGAACCUGAAACCGUGUACGUACAAGCAGUGGGAGCCUCUUAAUGGGGUGACUGCGUACCUUUUGUAUAAUGGGUCAGCGACUUAUAUUCUGUAGCAAGGUUAACCGAAUAGGGGAGCCGAAGGGAAACCGAGUCUUAACUGGGCGUUAAGUUGCAGGGUAUAGACCCGAAACCCGGUGAUCUAGCCAUGGGCAGGUUGAAGGUUGGGUAACACUAACUGGAGGACCGAACCGACUAAUGUUGAAAAAUUAGCGGAUGACUUGUGGCUGGGGGUGAAAGGCCAAUCAAACCGGGAGAUAGCUGGUUCUCCCCGAAAGCUAUUUAGGUAGCGCCUCGUGAAUUCAUCUCCGGGGGUAGAGCACUGUUUCGGCAAGGGGGUCAUCCCGACUUACCAACCCGAUGCAAACUGCGAAUACCGGAGAAUGUUAUCACGGGAGACACACGGCGGGUGCUAACGUCCGUCGUGAAGAGGGAAACAACCCAGACCGCCAGCUAAGGUCCCAAAGUCAUGGUUAAGUGGGAAACGAUGUGGGAAGGCCCAGACAGCCAGGAUGUUGGCUUAGAAGCAGCCAUCAUUUAAAGAAAGCGUAAUAGCUCACUGGUCGAGUCGGCCUGCGCGGAAGAUGUAACGGGGCUAAACCAUGCACCGAAGCUGCGGCAGCGACACUAUGUGUUGUUGGGUAGGGGAGCG
This 856-nucleotide ribosomal RNA is filed under the name Escherichia coli. Its description in RNAcentral is "partial 23S ribosomal RNA". It matches the Rfam family "Bacterial large subunit ribosomal RNA", at positions 377 to 1238 of the family's 2925-position model. The record is from RNAcentral. Lineage: Bacteria; Pseudomonadati; Pseudomonadota; Gammaproteobacteria; Enterobacterales; Enterobacteriaceae.